AGUGGCGGACGGGUGAGUAACGCGUGAGAAUCUGCCUUGGGGUCGGGGACAACCACCGGAAACGGUGGCUAAUACCGGAUAAGCCGAUUGGUGAAAGAUUUAUUGCCCGAAGAGGAGCUCGCGUCUGAUUAGCUAGUUGGUGAGGUAAGAGCUCACCAAGGCAGCGAUCAGUAGCUGGUCUGAGAGGACGAUCAGCCACACUGGGACUGAGACACGGCCCAGACUCCUACGGGAGGCAGCAGUGGGGAAUUUUCCGCAAUGGGCGAAAGCCUGACGGAGCAAGACCGCGUGAGGGAGGAAGGCUCUUGGGUUGUAAACCUCUUUUCUCAGGGAAGAAGCUCUGACGGUACCUGAGGAAUCAGCCUCGGCUAACUCCGUGCCAGCAGCCGCGGUAAUACGGAGGAGGCAAGCGUUAUCCGGAAUUAUUGGGCGUAAAGCGUCCGCAGGUGGCGAUUCAAGUCUGCUGUCAAAGCACGGGGCUUAACUCCGUAAAGGCAGUGGAAACUGAAUAGCUAGAGUGCCGUAGGGGUAGAGGGAAUUCCCGGUGUAGCGGUGAAAUGCGUAGAGAUCGGGAAGAACAUCGGUGGCGAAAGCGCUCUACUGGACGGCAACUGACACUCAGGGACGAAAGCUAGGGGAGCGAAUGGGAUUAGAUACCCC
RNAcentral lists this ribosomal RNA (660 nucleotides) under uncultured bacterium. RNAcentral's name for it is "bacterial SSU rRNA". It matches the Rfam family "Bacterial small subunit ribosomal RNA", at positions 94 to 788 of the family's 1533-position model. The record is from RNAcentral.